ACGCGAAGAACCUUACCUAGGGCUUGAAAAGCAGUCUAAACCAGUGAAAGCUGGGUACCCGCAAGGGGGGCUGUACAGGUGCUGCAUGGCUGUCGUCAGCUCGUGCCGUGAGGUGUUUGGUUAAGUCCAGCAACGAGCGCAACCCCUGGGUUUAGUUGCCAGCACGUAAUGGUGGGAACUCUAAACCAACUGCCUACGCAAGUAGUGAGGAAGGUGGGGACGACGUCAAGUCAUCAUGGCCCUUACGCCUAGGGCAACACACGUGCUACAAUGGCAACUACAACGCGCAGCAAUACCGCGAGGUGGAGCGAAUCGCUAAAAAGUUGUCUCAGUUCGGAUCGGAGUCUGCAACUCGACUCCGUGAAGUUGGAAUUGCUAGUAAUCGGGGGUCAGCACACCCCGGUGAAUACGUUCCCGGGUCUUGUACACACCG
This 433-nucleotide ribosomal RNA is filed under the name uncultured bacterium. Its description in RNAcentral is "bacterial SSU rRNA". It matches the Rfam family "Bacterial small subunit ribosomal RNA", at positions 959 to 1392 of the family's 1533-position model. The record is from RNAcentral.